GAGUUUGAUCUUGGCUCAGGAUGAACGCUAGCGGCAGGCUUAACACAUGCAAGUCGAGGGGUAUAGGUUUUCGGACCUAGAGACCGGCGCACGGGUGCGUAACGCGUAUGCAAUCUACCUUUUACAGAGGGAUAGCCCAGAGAAAUUUGGAUUAAUACCUCAUAGUAUUAUUGAGUGGCAUCAUUUAAUAAUUAAAGUUUCAACGGUAAAGAUGAGCAUGCGUCCCAUUAGCUAGAUGGUAAGGUAACGGCUUACCAUGGCGACGAUGGGUAGGGGUCCUGAGAGGGAGAUCCCCCACACUGGUACUGAGACACGGACCAGACUCCUACGGGAGGCAGCAGUGAGGAAUAUUGGUCAAUGGGCGCAAGCCUGAACCAGCCAUGCCGCGUGCAGGAUGACGGUCCUAUGGAUUGUAAACUGCUUUUGUACAGGAAGAAACAGUUCUACGUGUAGAACCUUGACGGUACUGUAAGAAUAAGGAUCGGCUAACUCCGUGCCAGCCGCCGCGGUAAC
This 513-nucleotide ribosomal RNA is filed under the name uncultured Flavobacterium sp. RNAcentral's name for it is "bacterial SSU rRNA". It matches the Rfam family "Bacterial small subunit ribosomal RNA", at positions 9 to 524 of the family's 1533-position model. The record is from RNAcentral. Lineage: Bacteria; Pseudomonadati; Bacteroidota; Flavobacteriia; Flavobacteriales; Flavobacteriaceae.